This 463-nucleotide ribosomal RNA is filed under the name uncultured Smithella sp. Its description in RNAcentral is "bacterial SSU rRNA". It matches the Rfam family "Bacterial small subunit ribosomal RNA", at positions 916 to 1381 of the family's 1533-position model. The record is from RNAcentral. Lineage: Bacteria; Pseudomonadati; Thermodesulfobacteriota; Syntrophia; Syntrophales; Smithellaceae.
GACGGGGCCCGCACAAGCAGUGGAGUAUGUGGUUAAUUCGAAGCAACGCGAAGAACCUUACCAGGGCUUGACAUCCCUUGAAGCAGCUAGAGAUAGCUGUGUCCUUCGGGACAAGGAGACAGGUGGUGCAUGGUUGUCGUCAGCUCGUGUCGUGAGAUGUUGGGUUAAGUCCCGCAACGAGCGCAACCCUUAUCUUUAAUUGCCAGCAUUCAGUUGGGCACUUUAAAGAGACUGCCGGUGUUAAACCGGAGGAAGUGGGAUGACGUCAAGUCCUCAUGGCCUUUAUGCUUAGGGCUACACACGUGCUACAAUGGGUGGUACAAAGAGAAGCCAACUCGCGAGAGCGCGCCAAUCUCAAAAAGCCAUCCUCAGUUCGGAUUGGAGUCUGCAACUCGACUUCAUGAAGUUGGAAUCGCUAGUAAUCGCGGAUCAGCACGCCGCGGUGAAUACGUUCCCGGGCCUU